UAAGGAAUAUUGGUCAAUGGACGCAAGUCUGAACCAGCCAUGCCGCGUGAAGGAUGAAGGUCCUCUGGAUUGUAAACUUCUUUUAUCUGGGACGAAAACGGGAUUUUUAUCUCAAUUGACGGUACCAGAGGAAUAAGCACCGGCUAACUCCGUGCCAGCAGCCGCGGUAAUACGGAGGGUGCGAGCGUUAUCCGGAUUUACUGGGUUUAAAGGGUGCGUAGGUGGGCUUAUAAGUCAGUGGUGAAAUCUCCGAGCUUAACUUGGAAACCGCCGUUGAUACUAUAGGUCUUGAAUUAUCUGGAGGUAAGCGGAAUAUGUCAUGUAGCGGUGAAAUGCUUAGAUAUGACAUAGAACACCAAUUGCGAAGGCAGCUUACUACAUAUAAAUUGACGCUGAGGCACGAAAGCGUGGGGAUCAAAC
RNAcentral lists this ribosomal RNA (420 nucleotides) under uncultured bacterium. RNAcentral describes it as "bacterial SSU rRNA". It matches the Rfam family "Bacterial small subunit ribosomal RNA", at positions 355 to 773 of the family's 1533-position model. The record is from RNAcentral.